This is an RNA transcript of Triplophysa rosa, 2328 nucleotides long. It is a transcript of the gene named C3a anaphylatoxin chemotactic receptor-like, with no coding region annotated. The transcript has 5 exons. Lineage: Eukaryota; Metazoa; Chordata; Actinopteri; Cypriniformes; Nemacheilidae. The record is from RefSeq and is a predicted model, not a curated record.
CAGACUGCCACUAAUUGUUCGUGCAGAGAGAGACGUUUGUUGUGGGCUUUGACAACAUCUACUUGAAGACAGAGGCGAGGAAAUAAAGACCUAGAAAAUGGCAAACAGCACUUUGGGACCUCAAAAUCUGAGCAACGUCGAAAGAAAUCACUCCACAGAUCUGACGGGCCUAUCAAACACAGAAAUCUUCAGCAUAUGCACAUAUUUUGUCAUCUUAGUCACGGGUGUGAUCGGAAACGGGCUUGUCAUCUUUGUGACCGGCUACAAAAUGAAGACGACGGUCAACUCCAUUUGGUUUCUCAACUUGGCGAUUGCAGACUUCAUUUUCAUUUUGUUCUUGAUUCUCUAUAUCGUUGUUACCUUUUACAAGAUGGUCUGGCCCUUUGGCGACGUCAUGUGCAAAAUAACUUCCUUGGUCUCGAUACUAAAAAUGUUUGCGAGCAUUUUUUUGCUGACAGCCAUCAGUCUGGACCGAUGUCUGUGCACAUGGGUGGUCGUGUGGGCUCAGAAUAAACGGACUCUAGUCAAAGCCAGAAUCAUCUGUGUGUUUGUGUGGCUUUCAUCCAUCUGCUGCAGCAUCCCUUUCGUCAUCAAUCGUUCUGUACAGAAAAAUAUUGGAUUUGAAUACUGCGUCUAUUCAAGCCCCAUCAAUGUCAUUAUGUCUCUGUUCAUAUACAGGUUUACGGUGGGCUUUGUAAUUCCCUUCUUAAUCAUUGCAUCUUCAUACAUAGCUAUUGGUGUGCGGGCCAAACGCCUCAAAAGAGGAAAGCAGCUUCGGCCUUUCCGGGUCAUUAUACCUGUGAUUCUGGCCUUUUUCAUGUGCUGGUUUCCUUUUCAUGUUCAACAGUUGUGUCUCAUAAGUGCACUUAAGAAUCAUUGGAGUGACAGCGUUCAAGAAGGAAUUGAGGCUGCGGGACCUUUCGUAACCUGUCUGGCUUAUCUGAACAGCUGUCUGAACCCCAUUCUCUAUGUGUUCAUGUGUGACGAGUUUAAGGAGAAACUUAAAAAGUCUCUGCUGCUGGUGCUCGAGGGGGCUUUUACUGAGGAGCACGUGAGUUUCAGAUCAACACGCUUUUCACGCCUCUCAGAGUCACAACAAGAUGAAACAAAGGCACUGCCUCAGCCUUCACUCCCACUACGGCAAAAAUGGAUGGUGCGAAUAAAUCAGGUUAUAAGCAUGCAAGCAUGCAGGUUGUGAAUAUCUUAAAAAGUUGCAUGAAGGAAGUUUAUUUACUUUUUCGCUAGCGAUACUUGAAUUGAUGUAAAGGGGUCAUAUGACAGGGCUGAAAGGAAUAUUAUGGUUUGUUUUAGAUGUAAUGCGCACGAUUUAAGGUUCAAAAACGUUGUAUUUUACGCAUACCGUGCAUGUUUGUAUCUCCUCUUUGCCCCGCCUCUCUGAAACGCGCUGAUUUUUUACAAAGCUCAUGGCUCUGAAAAGCAAGGUGUGCUAUGAUUGGCCAGUUAGCCAGUGCGUAGUGAUUGGUCGAAUACUGCAAGCGUGUGGCGGAAAUGUAACGCCUCUUACCAUAUUUGGAACAUCACGUUCCAUAUUUGUAUUAUACAGUCUAAUGUCAAGAGGAAUAAGUCAACCUGUUUUCCUUUGACUACAGUAUGUGCUUACAAAUUGUACAGAGGUGUUAGUAGUUCUCUUUUUAAUUUGUUACUUCUUUAUCUUCCAAUGAAGCCAUUUUUGGGGGCGGAAGCUUAAUCUAGACGGGCCUUAACAGAGAACAGUACUGCUGACUAAACCAUUGGCAGAAGCUCUAUGUUUUGCCAACAUAGACGCUGAGAAGCGUUUUUUUACACCUCCCGUGUAUCAAAUAUUACUGUAAUGUGUCCUACACUGAAUACAUUGAAUUGUUUCAUAACGGAGAUCGAGUGUUACCCCAGCUUAAUUUCACAAAACAGUUCAUUUCUCUUUCCUCUUGCUUAUAUAAAAGACGGUGUGCUGCAUUUGACAGUAGAGUAACAUACAGAUCAGCAUUUGUUUGUUACCUCUGAGAUAAAAGAGCAUCAUAAAACUGCUUCUAGCUGUCGCAUUCGAACUGAAUCCUUAAAGACCAAACAGAAGCUUCAUCCGAUACAUCAUCAUCAACCACCAAUGCACCCGUCCAAAUGAAUCUCCCAAUGAACAUCACAAUAUUCCUUCCCUGCAUGACUUCUGUGUUUGACGUUGUUGGAAACGGAGUGGUCAUCUACGUAACUGGCCUGAGAAUGAAGAAAACCGUCAACACCAUUUGGUUUAGCUGAUUUUCUCUUUACGUUCUUUUUGAUCUUCAACAUAAUCUACGAAUCCCACCAUUUCGACUGGCCUUUCGGUGAUUUCAU